RNAcentral lists this non-coding RNA (31 nucleotides) under Rattus norvegicus (Norway rat). Lineage: Eukaryota; Metazoa; Chordata; Mammalia; Rodentia; Muridae. The record is from RNAcentral.
UGAAGGAAUGUUCAGUUGCAUCUCCCCAGAA